RNAcentral lists this long non-coding RNA (814 nucleotides) under Carica papaya (papaya). RNAcentral describes it as "long non-coding RNA (CPAP_LNC009283)". Lineage: Eukaryota; Viridiplantae; Streptophyta; Magnoliopsida; Brassicales; Caricaceae. The record is from RNAcentral.
AUAAGUAUAAACCAAACACCAACUAACACCAUAAUUAUGGCCAUAACUGAUCCACAUGGUGGGUUGUUGUGAGGACCGGCUAGGUGUCAAAAAACAAUCGGCCUCCCAUGCCAACCUUGGUCGACCACCGAAAGCACCAAUGGUUGUGAUGUCGUGCCUAUAUUUGGAGGGUCGAAUGAUGGGCUAAAUUCAGUUAAGAGCUUUUUUCUUUUUGUUAGGAUCUGUAGAUCCCAACGUAUCCCUACGAAGAACCCAAAGUAUCUUGAUGGAGCAUGACCGGGUCAACAGCACGUGCACACCUGCAGAAUCGAUCUCACUUAUCCACCUCCAAAUAGAAUCGGUCUUACUUAUCCACCUCCAACUGAAAAACCACUCCACUCCACAGCAGCAACUCCCCACAACGGAAGUGACCCACAAUCUAUAUCCUUUAUUUUUCAUGCCAUAAAUGUAGGAAUUUACCAUUAUCUUGUAAUCUCUUAUUGGCUAUUUAAAGCCUAGAACUUUAAAUGGAAAGUAAGUAAAAUAGAAAUCAAAUUAUGGUUUCUUUCUCACCUCAAGCAGAAAGUCCUUUCUUAUUUUCUUCAAGCCUUAAUUGGGACCAAACAUUGGUAUCAGAGCCAGGUUACUAUGACGACAAACAAGGAACGGAUUGAGAACUUGGAGGCUGGGCCUUUUAGAGUGCAAGAUCAUUUAAGCUAAAUGGAAACCAGAAUGGUCGACCGAUUUCGGCGCUUGAAGAAUCCAUUUAAUGACUCACCAACUCCAUCGCAUCUGGUAGAGAAAGCUCCAGUAGCCACCAUCCCCUUCGUCUCAG